CUGGUGGAUGCCUUGGCGCCAAGAGGCGAUGAAGGACGUGGUACGCUGCGAUAAGCCGUGGGGAGCUGCGAACAAGCUUUGAUCCGCGGAUUUCCGAAUGGGGAAACCCGGCCCUUUAGGGUCAUCGUACGGUGAAUCCAUAGCCGUGCGAGGCGAACCCGGGGAACUGAAACAUCUCAGUACCCGGAGGAAAGGACAUCAACCGAGACUCCGUUAGUAGUGGCGAGCGAACGCGGACUAGCCCAGUGGCUCAGACAAGCGAACCGGAACCGGCUGGAAAGCCGGGCCAGAGCGGGUGACAGCCCCGUACGGGUAGGAGCUUGUUUGGGUCCUCGAGUAGGGCGGGACACGUGAAAUCCUGUCUGAACAUGGGGGGACCACCCUCCAAGCCUAAGUACUCCUCAGCGACCGAUAGUGAACCAGUACCGUGAGGGAAAGGCGAAAAGAACCCCGGAGAGGGGAGUGAAAUAGAACCUGAAACCGGAUGCGUACAAGCAGUCGGAGCCCGUUCGUCGGGUGACGGCGUACCUUUUGUAUAAUGGGUCAGCGACUUAG
This 555-nucleotide ribosomal RNA is filed under the name uncultured alveolate. RNAcentral describes it as "partial Bacterial large subunit ribosomal RNA". It matches the Rfam family "Bacterial large subunit ribosomal RNA", at positions 21 to 631 of the family's 2925-position model. The record is from RNAcentral.